Molecule: ribosomal RNA, 483 nt
Filed under: uncultured bacterium
Lineage: Bacteria
Description: partial 16S ribosomal RNA
Rfam family: Bacterial small subunit ribosomal RNA
Source: RNAcentral
GACGAACGCUGGCGGCGUGCUUAACACAUGCAAGUCGAACGCUGAAGCUCAGCUUUUGUUGGGUGGAUUAGUGGCGAACGGGUGAGUAACACGUGAGUAACCUGCCUCCUUCUUUGGGAUAACGACCGGAAACGAGUGCUAAUACUGGCUAUUCAUUGGUCUUCGCAUGGGGGUUGGUGGAUAGGGCUUUUCUGGUGCGGGAUGGGCUCGCGGCCUAUCAGCUUGUUGGGGGGGUGAUGGCCUACCAAGGCUUUGACGGGUAGCGGGCCUGAGAGGGUGACCGGGCACUGUGGGACGGUCCAGCGUCCCAGGGGCGGACGGGAGGCAGAAGUGUGGAAAAUUGGACAAUGGGCGCAACACUGAUGCAGCGACGCUGCGGGAGGGAUGGGGGCUUUAGAGUUGUGAACCUCUGGCGCUCAGGGGCAAGCCUAAACAAUGGUUGUGUUGAGGGUAGUGGGUAAAGAAGCGCCGGCUAACUACGUG